Molecule: long non-coding RNA, 924 nt
Filed under: Medicago truncatula (barrel medic)
Lineage: Eukaryota; Viridiplantae; Streptophyta; Magnoliopsida; Fabales; Fabaceae
Description: lncRNA gene31774
Source: RNAcentral
CUUUGAAUUAAGAUGAAAAUUAUUUUUACCCCACCACUAAAUUUAUUUUUUUAGGUGGUGGUGUUGAAAAUAAGGUGUUAUAUGCCUAAAUUGGAUAAAAUGGCGGUACCUCCAAACUUCAGAGAGAAUAAGACAAUCUAAAUAAUAUUGUUUACUGUUUUACCAUUCUCAUAGAGUACAUGGUCAUAAAUGCAUUGUUCAUAAAGCUUAUUAAAAUAAUUUAUUGUGUGGCAAUUUAAUAAUUAAAUUAUCCUAAAAGUAUAGCUCUAAUUCUACUUCCAGGCCCACUGACAUCUGUGUUUAACACACUUAUAAUAAGUAUCUGGGUGUGAAUUUUUCAUUGGUUUUGGACAAUCAUCAUCAACUUCACAUUCAAUAUAUGCUGUGAUGAAAAAUAUAAGGCUAAAAUAUGGUUUUAGUUCCUGCAAAUAUGCCUCGUUUUGGUUUUAGUUCCUGGUAAAAAAAUAAUUGUUUUUGGUCCCUGCUUCAGGGACUAUUUUCAAAAACAAAAAAUUUUGCAAGGACCUUUUUUAAAAACAAAAUAUUUUGCAGGGACCAAAAACUACAAAAUUGGUUCAGUUAUAAUGUGUCACGUAUGCAAAUCAUCACAAAAGUGGGGUCAGGGACUAUUUUCAAAAACAAAAAAUUUUACAGGAACCAAAAACAAAUUUUUUUUUUACCAGGGACUAAAAUCAAAACGAGGCAUAUUUGCAGGGACUAAAAUCAUAUUUUAGCCAAAAUAUAAUAAAAUAAUGUUAGUAAAGAAUGAUAAAAGAUGUUGUACAAACUAUGAAGUAACUAAGGAAAUUAAAAAAGGAUAAAAAAAAAUGUCUUACCACCACCAACUUCCGUUGCAACAAGAAACAAUGAGAGAAGUAGAAUUAUAGCAAAGAAAAACUUGAGCAUUUUAGCCAUACUUUUUUU